Molecule: ribosomal RNA, 497 nt
Filed under: uncultured bacterium
Lineage: Bacteria
Description: partial 16S ribosomal RNA
Rfam family: Bacterial small subunit ribosomal RNA
Source: RNAcentral
GAUGAACGCUGGCGGCGUGCCUAAUACAUGCAAGUCGAGCGAACGGACGAGAAGCUUGCUUCUCUGAUGUUAGCGGCGGACGGGUGAGUAACACGUGGAUAACCUACCUAUAAGACUGGGAUAACUUCGGGAAACCGGAGCUAAUACCGGAUAAUAUUAUGAACCGCAUGGUUCAAAAGUGAAAGACGGUCUUGCUGUCACUUAUAGAUGGAUCCGCGCUGCAUUAGCUAGUAGGUAAGGUAACGGCUUACCAAGGCAACGAUGCAUAGCCGACCGGAGAGGGUGAUCGGCCACACUGGAACGGAGACACGGUCCAGACUCCUACGGGACGCAGCAGUAGGGAAUCUUCCGCAAUGGGCGAAAGCCUGACGGAGCAACGCCGCGUGAGUGAUGAAGGUCUUCGGAUCGUAAAACUCUGUUAUUAGGUAAGAACAUAUGUGUAAGUAACUGUGCACAUCUUGACGGUACCUAAUCAGAAAGCCACGGCUAACUACGUG